This is a long non-coding RNA of Spea bombifrons (plains spadefoot toad), 167 nucleotides long. RefSeq lists it as uncharacterized. The transcript has 2 exons. The record is from RefSeq and is a predicted model, not a curated record. NCBI's taxonomy places the organism in Eukaryota, Metazoa, Chordata, Amphibia, Anura, Pelobatidae.
UGGCUGAGGACACAGAAAGCCUGUCUGUGGGAGAGACAUGUGAGUAAAGGGACAUCCCUUGUAUAGUAAGUGCCGGACAGGCAAGGUAUUUCUUUUGUUGCUGUGUUAUAUUUCUUUUGUCUUUGCAACCUUUCUAAUAAACCUGACCCUGUGUCAGAUUGCACGAA